UCCAUGUGCUUCAGCAGAGUUUUCUUUCU
This 29-nucleotide non-coding RNA is filed under the name Homo sapiens (human). The record is from RNAcentral. Lineage: Eukaryota; Metazoa; Chordata; Mammalia; Primates; Hominidae.